This 74-nucleotide transfer RNA is filed under the name Acidimicrobiaceae bacterium. RNAcentral describes it as "tRNA-Gly". It matches the Rfam family "tRNA". From Rfam's summary of the family: Transfer RNA (tRNA) molecules are approximately 80 nucleotides in length. Their secondary structure includes four short double-helical elements and three loops (D, anti-codon, and T loops). Further hydrogen bonds mediate the characteristic L-shaped molecular structure. tRNAs have two regions of fundamental functional importance: the anti-codon, which is responsible for specific mRNA codon recognition, and the 3' end, to which the tRNAs corresponding amino acid is attached (by aminoacyl-tRNA synthetases). tRNAs cope with the degeneracy of the genetic code in two manners: having more than one tRNA (with a specific anti-codon) for a particular amino acid; and 'wobble' base-pairing, i.e. permitting non-standard base-pairing at the 3rd anti-codon position. Lineage: Bacteria; Bacillati; Actinomycetota; Acidimicrobiia; Acidimicrobiales; Acidimicrobiaceae. RNAcentral also lists the same sequence under 4 other names. The record is from RNAcentral.
GCGGGUGUAGUUCAAUGGUAGAACAUCAGCUUCCCAAGCUGAUAACGCGGGUUCGAUUCCCGUCACCCGCUCCA